Molecule: ribosomal RNA, 460 nt
Filed under: uncultured bacterium
Lineage: Bacteria
Description: partial 16S ribosomal RNA
Rfam family: Bacterial small subunit ribosomal RNA
Source: RNAcentral
CCUACGGGUGUCAGCAGUGAGGAAUAUUGGUCAAUGGACGAGAGUCUGAACCAGCCAAGUAGCGUGAAGGAUGACUGCCCUAUGGGUUGUCAACUUCUUUUAUAUGGGAAUAAAAUGUUCCCCGUGUGGGAUUUUGUCUGUACCAUAUUAAUACGGAUCGGCUAACUCCGUGCCAGCAGCCUCGGUAAUACGGAGGAUCCGAGCUUUAUCCGGAUUUAUUGGGUUUAAAGGGAGCGUAGGUGGAUUGUUAAGUCAGUUGUGAAAGUUUGCGGCUCAACCGUAAAAUUGCAGUUGAAACUGGCAGUCAUGAGUACAGGAGAGGUGGGCGGAAUUCGUGGUGUAGCGGUGAAAUGCUUAGAUAUCACGAAGAACUCCGAUUGCGAAGGCAGCUCACUGGACUGCAACUGACACGGAGGCUCGAAAGUGUGGGUAUCAAACAGGAUUAGAUACCCGGGUAGUC